RNAcentral lists this transfer RNA (59 nucleotides) under Ailuropoda melanoleuca (giant panda). Its description in RNAcentral is "partial tRNA-Lys". Lineage: Eukaryota; Metazoa; Chordata; Mammalia; Carnivora; Ursidae. The record is from RNAcentral.
GCCUGGCUGGCUCAGUUGGUAGAGCAUGCAACUCUUGAUCUCAGGGUUGUAAGUUCAAG